This 448-nucleotide long non-coding RNA is filed under the name Androctonus crassicauda. The record is from RNAcentral. Lineage: Eukaryota; Metazoa; Arthropoda; Arachnida; Scorpiones; Buthidae.
GUUGAUUAAAGCAACAAUAAAGCAGAUUCAAAUAAUUAACAAAACUUAUUUAAUCAAAAUUUGAACUCCAUACUUGUCUUAAACUGCUUAACUUGUCAGUUGAUUUUUAUAAAUCAGAAAAAACAGCACUUAUGUGAAGACGACCUAGAAAAGAGUAGAUGGAGAUACGUAAGAGAAAUGAAAACCCGCAGAAAUAAACUGCAAGAAACAAUGCAGGUUAGUAGGUUUAAUGCACUCCUAAGGCAGACUGAAAGAUGGCUAAAAGAGAACAAUUAUGUGAUAACAAGGGAAGACAAAAUGAAAAAAAUGGUCUUGCUAGAGAAAGAAAAAUAUGAUCAAUACCUUCUUCAAUAUAUUCAAGCAACACAACCUAAGCCUGUAAACAAAGACCCAACACCCCAACUAAAAGCUGCCGUUGAUAGAAUCGUUAAUCAUAAGCUUUUCCUGC